UCAAGUGAAUAAGUGCAUGUGGUGGAUGCCUUGGCGAUUACAGGCGAUGAAGGACGUUGUAGCCUGCGAAAAGCCGCGGGGAGCUGGCAAACAAGCUUUGAUCCGCGGAUGUCCGAAUGGGGAAACCCACCCGCAAGGGUAUCGCUGACUGAAUCCAUAGGUCAGCGAGGCGAACGUGGCGAACUGAAACAUCUAAGUAGCCACAGGAAAAGAAAUCAACCGAGAUUCCGAAAGUAGUGGCGAGCGAAAUCGGAGCAGCCUGUGCGUGAUAGUCGAUUGGCUAGUGGAACGGUAUGGAAAGGCCGGCCAUAGAGGGUGAUAGCCCCUUACACGAAAGCGAAUCGGUGGUACUGAGCGUACGACAAGUAGGGCGGGACACGUGUAAUCCUGUCUGAAGAUGGGGGGACCAUCCUCCAAGGCUAAAUACUCGUAAUCGACCGAUAGUGAACAAGUACUGUGAAGGAAAGGCGAAAAGAACCCCGGGAGGGGAGUGAAAUAGAUCCUGAAACCGCAUGCAUACAAACAGUCGGAGCCUCGCAAGGGGUGACGGCGUACCUUUUGUAUAAUGGGUCAGCGACUUACGUUCAGUGGCAAGCUUAACCAGAUAGGGGAGGCGCAGGGAAACCGAGUCCGAAUAGGGCGCCAUAGUCGCUGGGCGUAGACCCGAAACCAGGUGAUCUAUCCAUGGUCAGGAUGAAGGUUGGGUAACACCAGCUGGAGGUCCGAACCGACUAAUGUUGCAAAAUUAGCGGAUGAACUGUGGAUAGGGGUGAAAGGCUAAUCAAACCUGGAAAUAGCUGGUUCUCCCCGAAAACUAUUUAGGUAGUGCGUCAUGUAUUGCUCCAGGGGGUAGAGCACUGUAAUGGUUGUGGGGGCCAUCGCGGCUUACCACGCCAUAGCAAACUCCGAAUACCUGGAAGUAUGAGCAUGGCAGACAGUCGCCGGGUGCUAACGUCCGGCGGCAAGAGGGAAACAACCCAGACCUACAGCUAAGGUCCCAAAGUGUGGCUAAGUGGGAAACGAAGUGGGAAGGCUAAAACAGUCAGGAUGUUGGCUUAGAAGCAGCCAUCAUUUAAAGAAAGCGUAAUAGCUCACUGAUCGAGUCGUCCUGCGCGGAAGAUGUAACGGGGCUAAGCCAUGCACCGAAGCUUAGGCUGCACUCUCUGAGUGCGGGGUAGGGGAGCGUUCUGUAAGCCUGUGAAGGUGUCUCGUAAGGGAUGCUGGAGGUAUCAGAAGUGCGAAUGCUGACAUGAGUAGCGUUAAAGCGGGUGAAAAGCCCGCUCGCCGUAAGCGCAAGGUUUCCUACGCAACGUUCAUCGGCGUAGGGUGAGUCGGCCCCUAAGGUGAGGGCGAAAGCCAUAGCUGAUGGGAAGCUGGUUAAUAUUCCAGCACCGAUUUCUAGUGCGAUGGGGGGACGGAUCGUGGAAGGUUGUCCGGGUGUUGGAAGUCCCGGUUCCUGACCUGUAGGUGUCUGGUAGGUAAAUCCGCCAGGCGUAUGCCGAGGGGUUGGGACGAGCGAGCUUGCUCGCGAAGCAACUGGAAGUGGUUCCAAGAAAAGCCUCUAAGCUUCAGCUAGAAACGACCGUACCGCAAACCAACACUGGUGCGCGAGAUGAGUAUUCUCAGGCGCUUGAGAGAACUCGGGAGAAGGAACUCGGCAAAUUGACACCGUAACUUCGGAAGAAGGUGUGCCUUGGUAGCUUGAGUGUGAACAACACAAGGGCAAAGAGGUUGCAAAGAAUAGGUGGCUGCGACUGUUUAUUAAAAACACAGCACUCUGCAAACACGAAAGUGGACGUAUAGGGUGUGACGCCUGCCCGGUGCCGGAAGGUUAAGUGAUGGGGUGCAAGCUCUUGAUCGAAGCCCCGGUAAACGGCGGCCGUAACUAUAACGGUCCUAAGGUAGCGAAAUUCCUUGUCGGGU
This 1923-nucleotide ribosomal RNA is filed under the name human oral metagenome. RNAcentral describes it as "bacterial LSU rRNA". It matches the Rfam family "Bacterial large subunit ribosomal RNA", at positions 3 to 1977 of the family's 2925-position model. The record is from RNAcentral.